UGGGUUGUAAACUUCUUUUGUUUGGGAAGAAAUCUGGACAUUUAUGUGCAGUUGACGGUACCUUACGAAUAAGCACCGGCUAACUCCGUGCCAGCAGCCGCGGUAAUACGGAGGGUGCAAGCGUUAUCCGGAAUCACUGGGUUUAAAGGGUGCGUAGGCGGUUUGAUAAGUCAGAGGUGAAAGCUACCAGCUUAACUGUUAAAUUGCCUUUGAUACUGUCAGACUUGAAUCAUGUGGAGGUAGGCGGAAUGUGACAUGUAGCGGUGAAAUGCAUAGAUAUGACAUAGAACACCAAUUGCGUAGGCAGCUUGCUGGGCUUGAAUUGACGCUGAGGCACGAAAGCGUGGGGAUCAAACAGGAUUAGAUACCCUGGUAGUCCACGCCCUAAACGAUGUUAACUCGAUAUUUAUUCUUCGGAGUGAGUGUCCAAGCGAAAGCGUUAAGU
This 445-nucleotide ribosomal RNA is filed under the name uncultured bacterium. RNAcentral describes it as "bacterial SSU rRNA". It matches the Rfam family "Bacterial small subunit ribosomal RNA", at positions 419 to 865 of the family's 1533-position model. The record is from RNAcentral.